UAUUUGAUUUUCUUCGGAACUGAAGAUUUGGUGAUUGAGUGGCGGACGGGUGAGUAACGCGUGGGUAACCUACCCUGUACAGGGGGAUAACAGUCAGAAAUGACUGCUAAUACCGCAUAAGACCACAGCACCGCAUGGUGCAGGGGUAAAAACUCCGGUGGUACAGGAUGGACCCGCGUCUGAUUAGCUGGUUGGUGAGGUAACGGCUCACCAAGGCGACGAUCAGUAGCCGGCUUGAGAGAGUGAACGGCCACAUUGGGACUGAGACACGGCCCAAACUCCUACGGGAGGCAGCAGUGGGGAAUAUUGCACAAUGGAGGAAACUCUGAUGCAGCGACGCCGCGUGAAGGAUGAAGUAUUUCGGUAUGUAAACUUCUAUCAGCAGGGAAGAAAAUGACGGUAUCUGACUAAGAAGCCCCGGCUAACUACGUGCCAGCAGCCGCGGUAAUACGUAGGGGGCAAGCGUUAUCCGGAUUUACUGGGUGUAAAGGGAGCGCAGGCGGUGCGGCAAGUCUGAUGUGAAAGCCCGGGGCUCAACCCCGGUACUGCAUUGGAAACUGUCGUACUAGAGUGUCGGAGGGGUAAGUGGAAUUCCUAGUGUAGCGGUGAAAUGCGUAGAUAUUAGGAGGAACACCAGUGGCGAAGGCGGCUUACUGGACGAUAACUGACGCUGAGGCUCGAAAGCGUGGGGAGC
This 694-nucleotide ribosomal RNA is filed under the name uncultured Lachnospiraceae bacterium. Its description in RNAcentral is "bacterial SSU rRNA". It matches the Rfam family "Bacterial small subunit ribosomal RNA", at positions 65 to 769 of the family's 1533-position model. The record is from RNAcentral. Lineage: Bacteria; Bacillati; Bacillota; Clostridia; Lachnospirales; Lachnospiraceae.